RNAcentral lists this ribosomal RNA (798 nucleotides) under uncultured bacterium. Its description in RNAcentral is "bacterial SSU rRNA". It matches the Rfam family "Bacterial small subunit ribosomal RNA", at positions 8 to 766 of the family's 1533-position model. The record is from RNAcentral.
AGAGUUUGAUCCUGGCUCAGGACGAACGCUGGCGGCGUGCCUAAUACAUGCAAGUCGAGCGAGCGGAACCAACAGAUUUACUUCGGUAAUGACGUUGGGAAAGCGAGCGGCGGAUGGGUGAGUAACACGUGGGGAACCUGCCCCUAAGUCUGGGAUACCAUUUGGAAACAGGUGCUAAUACCGGAUAAUAAAGCAGAUCGCAUGAUCAGCUUUUGAAAGGCGGCGUAAGCUGUCGCUAAGGGAUGGCCCCGCGGUGCAUUAGCUAGUUGGUAAGGUAACGGCUUACCAAGGCGACGAUGCAUAGCCGAGUUGAGAGACUGAUCGGCCACAUUGGGACUGAGACACGGCCCAAACUCCUACGGGAGGCAGCAGUAGGGAAUCUUCCACAAUGGACGCAAGUCUGAUGGAGCAACGCCGCGUGAGUGAAGAAGGUUUUCGGAUCGUAAAGCUCUGUUGUUGGUGAAGAAGGAUAGAGGUAGUAACUGGCCUUUAUUUGACGGUAAUCAACCAGAAAGUCACGGCUAACUACGUGCCUGCAGCCGCGGUAAUACGUAGGUGGCAAGCGUUGUCCGGAUUUAUUGGGCGUAAAGCGAGCGCAGGCGGAAAAAUAAGUCUAAUGUGAAAGCCCUCGGUUUAACCGAGGAAACUGCAUCGGAAACUGUUUUUCUUGAGUGAAAAAAAGGAGAGUGAAACUCCUUGUGGAGCGGGGGGAAUGCGUAAAAAUAAGGAAAAACACUAAUGGGGGAAGGGCGGUUCUUCGGGUCUGCAACUGAACCCUGAAGCUCCAAAAGCUUGGGU